This 227-nucleotide ribosomal RNA is filed under the name uncultured bacterium. RNAcentral's name for it is "partial 16S ribosomal RNA". It matches the Rfam family "Bacterial small subunit ribosomal RNA", at positions 383 to 607 of the family's 1533-position model. The record is from RNAcentral.
CUGAACCAGCCAAGUAGCGUGAAGGAUGACUGCCCUAUGGGUUGUAAACUUCUUUUAUAUGGGAAUAAAGUAUUCCACGUGUGGGAUUUUGUAUGUACCAUAUGAAUAAGGAUCGGCUAACUCCGUGCCAGCAGCCGCGGUAAUACGGAGGAUCCGAGAGUUAUCCGGAUUUAUUGGGUUUAAAGGGAGCGUAGGUGGAUUGUUAAGUCAGUUGUGAAAGUUUGCGG